GACGAGCGCUGGCGGCGUGCUUAACACAUGCAAGUCGAACGGAAAGGCCCUGCUUUUGUGGGGUGCUCGAGUGGCGAGCGGGUGAGUAACACGUGAGUAACCUGCCCUUGACUUUGGGAUAACUUCAGGAAACUGGGGCUAAUACCGGAUAGGAGCUCCUGCUGCAUGGUGGGGGUCGGAAAGUUUCGGCGGUUGGGGAUGGACUCGCGGCUUAUCAGCUUGUUGGUGGGGUAGUGGCUUACCAAGGCUUUGACGGGUAGCCGGCCUGAGAGGGUGACCGGCCACAUUGGGACUGAGAUACGGCCCAGACUCCUACGGGAGGCAGCAGUGGGGAAUAUUGCACAAUGGGCGGAAGCCUGAUGCAGCAACGCCGCGUGCGGGAUGACGGCCUUCGGGUUGUAAACCGCUUUCGCCUGUGACGAAGCGUGAGUGACGGUAAUGGGUAAAGAAGCACCGGCUAACUACGUG
RNAcentral lists this ribosomal RNA (468 nucleotides) under uncultured bacterium. RNAcentral's name for it is "partial 16S ribosomal RNA". It matches the Rfam family "Bacterial small subunit ribosomal RNA", at positions 28 to 507 of the family's 1533-position model. The record is from RNAcentral.